This 432-nucleotide ribosomal RNA is filed under the name uncultured bacterium. RNAcentral describes it as "partial 16S ribosomal RNA". It matches the Rfam family "Bacterial small subunit ribosomal RNA", at positions 29 to 507 of the family's 1533-position model. The record is from RNAcentral.
AACGAACGCUGGCGGCAUGCCUAACACAUGCAAGUCGAACGAGACCUUCGGGUCUAGUGGCGCACGGGUGCGUAACGCGUGGGAACCUGCCCUUAGGUUCGGAAUAACUCCCCGAAAGGGGUGCUAAUACCGGAUAAUGUCUUCGCACCAAAGAUUUAUCGCCUUUGGAUGGGCCCGCGUUGGAUUAGCUAGUUGGUAGGGUAAAAGCCUACCAAGGCGACGAUCCAUAGCUGGUCUGAGAGGAUGAUAGCCACACUGGGACUGAGACACGGCCCAGACUCCUACGGGAAGCAGCAGUGGGGAAUAUUGGACAAUGGGCGAAAGCCUGAUCCAGCAAUGCCGCGUGAGUGAUGAAGGCCUUAGGGUUGUAAAGCUCUUUUACCCGGGAUGAUAAUGACAGUACCGGGAGAAUAAGCUCCGGCUAACUCCGUG